GUUGUCUAUCAGGGCAUCAGAAUUCUCUGAAGGCAGUCCCUGCCAUCUCAGCCACGACCCCUUUCCCAGACCGGUAAGCACCUAGAACUUUUAAGUACUCUUUUACUAUAAUAAUUUGUUUUGUUUGUUAUUUUUGUUUUUUAAUUUAAACGUCUCCAUAGUCUUCUACCACCUCUUACCGAGAUGACAAGCUCCAUCCUUGGUGUUGAGGCUCGAGGUCACUGCCCUCCGGCACAGGAAGCUAGCGAGGACAUCUGGCCAAUCAGGAGCCACGUCCUACUGCGCUCCCCUUUCCCAUUGGGCUCCCUUCCCUCUCCAAGGAAACACUGCUUAGAGUCUUCCGUUUCAGCGCGGAGAGGCAGUGGGCGUUGUUUGUGUGGGCUCAGUGUUUCGCUGCUUCCGUUGUCCACUCAGAGACUCCGUAAGUGAUGCAGACUCUUGAGAAGACCGAGCGAGAAGCACACCAGGGCGGGAAGAGGUGUGGCUCAAGUAAGAGCAGCGACAAUUGAGUUAGAGUCAGAGAAGCAAUUUGGGUUUAGAAAUCCCAGAAGUUGUUGGAGGUGGGUCCCUCACAGCUGCGCUCCCGCCCACCUGAAGGCCGGAAAAGAGGAAGGAGGGAGGAGGGCUGGGGCAGUUUGAAUCGCAGGUUCCGGAUGUUUGGUUGGGAGUUGUUUGGUCAGACCAAGACCUGGAUGCUCACGGGAGGCCGCGUGGGUGGAUCUAGGCUGCAGGAGCAGAGGCUGCACGGAGUCCUGACCCUGAUCCUGCUCCUUGACCACCAUUCCUGUGAGUGCAUCCUGUGCUGCAUCCUGCUAGCCUAUGGUGGCUCAGUACUCUACCCCUCCCCAAAAGAGCACAAAGGAGAAAGAGACCUACACUCUUCCUGUCAGUCUGAUCUGUGGUGAGCAGGAUUGUCUUUUUUCAUUUAUAAGAUAGCCUGACUUCUCUAUCUGUAGGGAGGUAGUGGAAGUGGCAGUGAAGAGCGUCUUUUCCUAACGUUUACUUAUUUAGUGUCUCAAGUCUACAAUGCCUAUAAUUCCUACUGUUUUGGGUGUUCUGAGGUAAAUUUAAGGAUGUCUCCACAUGGAGUAAUAAAGCAUAUGAGAGUAAUAAUUUCUAAAGUUAUCCACGUUAAACAAUGUACCUGUGUAGUGGAGUGCUUGCUUAGCACGUGCAAUAACCUGGAUUUGAUUCCUAGCAUUGCAAAAAAAAAAAAAAAAACAAUUUGAGGAGACUAGUUACAUGGAAGUGUAAGGACAAAUGUUUAAAGUGAAGCCACUUUCUGGAGGUGUAUUUGUAUUUAAUGCCUUAGUUGUUCUUGUGCACUAUCAAGAGUCUAUCUCACAUCAACCAAAGGCAGCUGUUAUUGACAUUUGGGUAUAUUUACUUGUAAUCUUUCCUCUAAUACUUAAUUACAUACAUACUUACUAAUCUGAAUUAGCACUAAUAGGUAUGUAUUCAUGCAUACAUAUACUCUAUGUCCAAAU
RNAcentral lists this long non-coding RNA (1487 nucleotides) under Fukomys damarensis (Damara mole-rat). RNAcentral describes it as "lncRNA (ENSFDAG00000031021.1)". Lineage: Eukaryota; Metazoa; Chordata; Mammalia; Rodentia; Bathyergidae. The record is from RNAcentral.